This 497-nucleotide ribosomal RNA is filed under the name uncultured bacterium. Its description in RNAcentral is "partial 16S ribosomal RNA". It matches the Rfam family "Bacterial small subunit ribosomal RNA", at positions 28 to 507 of the family's 1533-position model. The record is from RNAcentral.
GAUGAACGCUGGCGGCGUGCCUAAUACAUGCAAGUCGAGCGAACAGACGAGGAGCUUGCUCCUCUGACGUUAGCGGCGGACGGGUGAGUAACACGUGGAUAACCUACCUAUAAGACUGGGAUAACUUCGGGAAACCGGAGCUAAUACCGGAUAAUAUAUUGAACCGCAUGGUUCAAUAGUGAAAGACGGUUUUGCUGUCACUUAUAGAUGGAUCCGCGCCGCAUUAGCUAGUUGGUAAGGUAACGGCUUACCAAGGCGACGAUGCGUAGCCGACCUGAGAGCGUGAUCGGCCACACCGGAACUGAGACACGGCCCAGACUCCUACGAGAGGCAGCAGCAGGAGAUCUUCCGCAAUGAGCGAAAGCCUGACGGUGCAACGCCGCGUGAGUGAUGAACAUCUUCGGAUCGUAAAACUCUGUUAUUAGGGAAGAACAAAUGUGUAAGUAACUAUGCACGUCUUGACGGUACCUAAUCAGAAAGCCACGUCUAACUACGUG